Molecule: RNA transcript, 1166 nt
Organism: Populus trichocarpa (black cottonwood)
Lineage: Eukaryota; Viridiplantae; Streptophyta; Magnoliopsida; Malpighiales; Salicaceae
Exons: 4
Source: RefSeq, a predicted model, not a curated record
AAGUUUUUAUUAUUUUUAAUGUUUUGAUAUGUUAAUAUUAAAAAUAAAAUUUAAAAAAUAAAAAAUAUUAUUUUAAUAUAUUUUUACCGCAAUAGAUUUUAAUAAUUUGAAAACUAAAAAUCUAAACAAACAACAUUUGACAUAUUUUUUCUUGUUUAGAAAAAUUGAAAACAAAAGCGAGAACAUAUAGAAUAAAUAAAUAAAUAAAAAGCCAGCACAGCCCUUUGAUUUGUUUAUGUAAUUUAUCCGGCAUUUUAAUAGGUGAGAGAGCAUGGAGGAUUGGAUGGAACAUGGAAGGCAGCUGGAUCCCAAUGCUCUAUCUAGGGUUCAUAAUAUUGAAAAUAUGGUAAUAAUAAUAAUAAAAAAAGUAAUGGAAGGUGACGUUUGGGUGACGCCUAACUUCACGUCUUCUCAUGCGAUUCCCCGUCUUGGUGGUGCUGCUUCUAAUGGCCAUGGCGGGUUUGUUCCUCUACCAUUUCGUGGUGCUGCUUCUAAUGGCCAUGGCGGGUUGAUUGCUCUCUCUUUGUAUGCCACUCGGAGGUUACCGCCAUCUUCUUUUAAGCAGACAAGACCCCGAGGCUUAAGCCAUCCAAUCAUCACAAUAUUUUCUGCACCUACUGCCCCUGGCUCCAACCAGAGUCUUGCUAUUCGAUCAUGGCUUGCUUUGUCCCCUCAAAUCACUGUCGUUUUGUUCACUCAACACCCUUCUUUUGCCUCCGCUUUUGGUUCCCGGGUUUUGGUUGAUUCCACUACUGAUUUCACGUUACUUGGCACCCCAUUCUUUCAUUCCAUGCUUGAAAAAUCACGGUUAUACACGACAGGUAUUACAGUUUUUGUUGAUCCACGGACGGUUCUUGUGUCUGACCUCAUUUCCACCUUAAAUUAUGCUUACGAACAUGACCGUGAUUAGCUUCUUGUGGCUUCGUUACGAAACGUUGCAUACUUCCCGUUCCAUUUGGAUGAUGCUGGGGAACACUGGCUUAGAGAGGAUGGCCAAAGGGUAAGACGCCAGGAGUUGCAGGGGAUGCUUGGUCAUCAUUGGCAGUGGAAUCAUUGUGAGGACAGAAUGCUUAUGGCAUGGAACAACAGAAAUCUACCUUUACAUAAUGGAGUACUUCCUCCUUUCUUGUAUGGCAAGGGGUUUCACAUCCACUGGAUCAUCAAUG